Non-coding RNA from Caretta caretta (loggerhead turtle), 305 nucleotides. The record is from RefSeq and is a predicted model, not a curated record. Lineage: Eukaryota; Metazoa; Chordata; Testudines; Cheloniidae.
GGAGGGGGGAGUGUUGACCUGGGAAUGUGCCCUGGGGAGGGGAGACCUGAGAGCCUGUCACCUGAGCCAGGAGGGGGAGGGGGAGGUGACACCUCUGCCCAGGAAUGUGAACAGAGGCUGCAGCAGGGAACCUGCUGGGUGGGUUGAGUUGGCAGUUUGGAGGCUGGGGGGAGGAACACAGGGAACCCCAGGGCUGGGGUCUAAGCUCCCUGCUCCCCCAGAAGGACGUGAUUGAGGGGUCCUGGUUGUACCCACAAGCUCUGUUGUGGACUGUGUUCCUGUUGUCCAAUAAACCUUCUGUUUUA